RNAcentral lists this ribosomal RNA (397 nucleotides) under uncultured bacterium. RNAcentral describes it as "bacterial SSU rRNA". It matches the Rfam family "Bacterial small subunit ribosomal RNA", at positions 29 to 424 of the family's 1533-position model. The record is from RNAcentral.
AGUGAACGCUGGCGGCAGGCCUAACACAUGCAAGUCGAACGGCAGCACAGCAGUAGCAAUACUGUGGGUGGCGAGUGGAGGACGGGUGAGGAAUACAUCGGAAUCUACCUUGUCGUGGGGGAUAACGUAGGGAAACUUACGCUAAUACCGCAUACGAACUAUGGUUGAAAGCGGCGGACCGCAAGGCGUCGCGCGAUUGGAUGAGCCGAUGUCCGAUUAGCUAGUUGGCGGGGUAAAGGCCACCAAGGCGACGAUCGGUAGCUGGUCUGAGAGGAUGAUCAGCCACACUGGAACUGAGACACGGUCCAGACUCCUACGGGAGGCAGCAGUGGGGAAUAUUGGACAAUGGGCGCAAGCCUGAUCCAGCCAUGCCGCGUGUGUGAAGAAGGCCUCGGUU